GUGGGGAAUUUUGGACAAUGGGCGAAAGCCUGAUCCAGCAAUGCCGCGUGUGUGAAGAAGGCCUUCGGGUUGUAAAGCACUUUGGCAGGGAAGAAACAGUGCGUGCUAAUACCAUGCGCGAAUGACGGUACCUGCAGAAUAAGCACCGGCUAACUACGUGCCAGCAGCCGCGGUAAUACGUAGGGUGCAAGCGUUAAUCGGAAUUACUGGGCGUAAAGCGUGCGCAGGCGGCUUUGUAAGACGGAUGUGAAAGCCCCGGGCUCAACCUGGGAAGUGCAUUCGUGACUGCAAGGCUAGAGUGUGUCAGAGGGAGGUGGAAUUCCGCGUGUAGCAGUGAAAUGCGUAGAGAUGCGGAGGAACACCGAUGGCGAAGGCAGCCUCCUGGGAUAACACUGACGCUCAGGCACGAAAGCGUGGGGAGCAAACAGGAUUAGAAACCCUAGUAGUCC
Molecule: ribosomal RNA, 449 nt
Filed under: uncultured bacterium
Lineage: Bacteria
Description: partial 16S ribosomal RNA
Rfam family: Bacterial small subunit ribosomal RNA
Source: RNAcentral